AUGGGUGCUGCAGCCAAGGAGAAUAGGAAAUCAGUCUCAAAUCCAUCUCUUCAACCAACUAAAAUUAGAGGUUUAUAUGGCAAGGGAGAAAUGUGACUACAUGUGGGAAAACAGGAAUUAGUGAGCGGUAAGGAUGAGGACUUGUUCAACAGGCAGCAGGUGGCUGGUUAGGCAAUCAUGAUGGGUGAGGGGUAUGGUGCCUCAUUGUCCAGAUGCAGUGAUCUGGUGGAAGAACUCAGUAAAAUACUCCAACGUGGGAGAAAUGAAGAUAAUAAAAAGUCUGAUGUGGAAGUACAAACAGAGAACCAUGCUCCUUGGUCAAUCUCAGAUUAUUAUUAUCAGACAUACUACAAUGAUGUUAGUCUUCCAAAUAAAGUGACUGAACUGUCAGAUCAACAAGAUCAAGCUAUCGAAACUUCUACUUUGAGUUCUAAAGACCAUUUACAAGUAGAAAAUGAUGCUUACCCUGGUACUGAUAGAACAGAAAAUGUUAAAUGUAGACAAGUGGACCAUUUUGCCUCAAAUUCACAGGAGCCAGCAUCUGCAUUAG
RNAcentral lists this small RNA (550 nucleotides) under Pongo abelii (Sumatran orangutan). RNAcentral describes it as "processed transcript". Lineage: Eukaryota; Metazoa; Chordata; Mammalia; Primates; Hominidae. The record is from RNAcentral.